UAGGGCACCAACUGUACUGAUCUCUC
This 26-nucleotide non-coding RNA is filed under the name Rattus norvegicus (Norway rat). The record is from RNAcentral. Lineage: Eukaryota; Metazoa; Chordata; Mammalia; Rodentia; Muridae.